Alligator mississippiensis (American alligator) is the source of this 520-nucleotide long non-coding RNA. RefSeq lists it as uncharacterized. The record is from RefSeq and is a predicted model, not a curated record. The transcript is spliced from 2 exons. NCBI's taxonomy places the organism in Eukaryota, Metazoa, Chordata, Crocodylia, Alligatoridae.
AAUAGCGCCUCGGCGACCUGGCUUUUCACGAAACUCUUGAAAUAAGGCAGAUAUUAGGAGGCACGCAGCUUGCAUUUCAUUAGCGAAAGCUUGUAUUCUGUAAUGGAUACAUUACACGGAAUAUCAGUAAAAAGACAUCGCUGGGAAGUCUAGGAGAGUUCAGCCUCGACACCCCCCCCGCCCCCUUUCCCAAGGAAAAAAGCCUCCCUCUCCCCUUAAAAAAAAGAAGUGGCUCUUUUGUCAUCUUGUGCAGCGCUAAUCACCAGCGAGAAAUCUGCUGGCCACAUGCACAUGUAAUCUAUUUUUUAAACAGAAGUAUCCGCUGGAGGAGAGGAAUUAAAAAAGCAAGGCAUAAAGCAAAGCAGGGAAUCCCCUUUUAAAACAUGAAUGGGAAAUAAUCACCUCCCCACCACCACCACCCAAAAAAAAAUGACUCUCGGCGUUAGCAGUGAAAGGGCUACAUUAUUCGGCGAGUAGCCGUGGGAUGUUUUUAUGUCCUUCAAUAAAAUUUUUACGAGGA